RNAcentral lists this ribosomal RNA (966 nucleotides) under Triticum aestivum (bread wheat). Its description in RNAcentral is "partial small subunit ribosomal RNA". Lineage: Eukaryota; Viridiplantae; Streptophyta; Magnoliopsida; Poales; Poaceae. The record is from RNAcentral.
AUGGCCUUGAACGAUGGCCUCGCCAGGUUCAAGCUGCAGCAGGAGAGGAACCAAGCGGCUCUAUCCGCCAUCGCCGCAGCAAAAACUUCUUCAUCAUCAUCAUCCACCAGGCCGUCGCCGUCCCAGCAGCAACCCGGUGCAGCUCCAACUCCAAGGCCGGCGGCUAAACCAUCGCCGCCAGUGCCUGCCGUCAGAAUCUCCGAUGACACGGCGCGGCUAAAAGAGACCAACACCGCGAGGAAGUUGGCCGCCGGAGCACAGAUCAGAUUCUCCGAUGACACAGCACGCCUACAGAAGAUCAAUGAAGUUAGGAGGUCCCCCGUCGGAAAACAGAUCAGAGAUGUCAUCGCGCUGCUCGAGAGGACGAGGGAAGCUCUCACGGCGCACCAGAUAAACGAGAAAACCUACGUCGACAUCGAUGGCGCCAUCGCCGAGCGCCUGAGGAACAACCCCAAGGUGCGCUUUGACGGGGAGCGCUACUCGUACAAGCGCACGCACGACGUCAGGGGCAAAGACGAGCUGCUCUCGCUCGUCGGAAGCUUCCCCGACGGCCUCCCGGCGUCGGAGGUGGAGGACGCGUAUCCAUCCGUGCUGGAAGACCUGCAGGCCCUGAAAUCUUCAGGCGACAUCUUUUUGCUGCCGGUCGAGAGAGACAUGAUUGCCUACCCGGAUGACCCGAGGUCGAGGAUGGAGGUGGACGCCGAGCUCAAGAAGAUGUUCCACGACAUCAAGCUGCCGGUAAACAUGGUGGACGUCGAGAAGGAGCUCCGGAAGAACGGCGAGAAGCCGGCCACCGACACGGCCAAGAGGCGUGCCGCUGAGCAGAUCCAUGGCCGGCAACCGGAGCCGGAGAAGGCCAGGAAGAAGCCGCGCGGGAUCACCAGCAGGACCAAGCUCACCAACGCUCAUCUCCCGGGACUCUUCGACCUGCCUGUAGAUAAUAAGGACUCGAAAGAUUUCAUCUGA